RNAcentral lists this small RNA (45 nucleotides) under Mycolicibacterium sp. BK607. Its description in RNAcentral is "sRNA Ms_AS-5". It matches the Rfam family "Mycobacterium sRNA Ms_AS-5". RNAcentral also lists the same sequence under 2 other names. Lineage: Bacteria; Bacillati; Actinomycetota; Actinomycetes; Mycobacteriales; Mycobacteriaceae. The record is from RNAcentral.
GUCGGGAUACUGGCCGGUGAAGAUCGUGGGCCGGCUCGGCACACA